Molecule: ribosomal RNA, 543 nt
Filed under: uncultured archaeon
Lineage: Archaea
Description: bacterial SSU rRNA
Rfam family: Bacterial small subunit ribosomal RNA
Source: RNAcentral
CAGCAGCCGCGGUAAUACGUAGGGGGCAAGCGUUGUCCGGAAUUACUGGGCGUAAAGGGUGCGUAGGCGGCCGAUUAAGUCAGAUGUGAAAUACCAGGGCUUAACCCUGGGGGUGCAUUUGAAACUGGUUGGCUUGAGUGCAGGAGAGGAAAGUGGAAUUCCUAGUGUAGCGGUGAAAUGCGUAGAGAUUAGGAGGAACACCAGUGGCGAAGGCGACUUUCUGGACUGUAACUGACGCUGAGGCACGAAAGCGUGGGUAGCGAACAGGAUUAGAUACCCUGGUAGUCCACGCCGUAAACGAUGGAUACUAGGUGUAGGAGGUAUCGACCCCUUCUGUGCCGUAGUUAACGCAAUAAGUAUCCCGCCUGGGGAGUACGGCCGCAAGGCUGAAACUCAAAGGAAUUGACGGGGGCCCGCACAAGCAGCGGAGCAUGUGGUUUAAUUCGAAGCAACGCGAAGAACCUUACCAGGGCUUGACAUCCCUCUGACCGGUGUAGAGAUACACCUUUCCUUCGGGACAGGGGAGACAGGUGGUGCAUGGCC